This is a long non-coding RNA of Rhipicephalus sanguineus (brown dog tick), 466 nucleotides long. RefSeq lists it as uncharacterized. Lineage: Eukaryota; Metazoa; Arthropoda; Arachnida; Ixodida; Ixodidae. The transcript is spliced from 3 exons. The record is from RefSeq and is a predicted model, not a curated record.
GUUGUGCUCGUUACGUAAACGAAGGGUAGCGCGUAGCGCCAUCUGGCCCACACCCGUCGUGUGCGGGGGGCCUGGCCGCGUCGUUCCUGGCAGUUGCGCGGUUGCGACUCGGCGGUGGAGCCCGGGCGGGGCCGCGAGGGGAGAGUGUGUGAGGAAGAGAGGAAGGACAAACGAAGCUCAGCCGCCGAGUGUAGAAGCAGUUGUACUUACUCUAGCUGUCGGAAGACAUUGCUUUUGAUUUGUGGCCGCUGAUAUGGCGAUUCUGGUACGGAAGCGCGGCGUAGGAGGUCAAGCUUGGCGUGAAAGUGAGUUUAGUGGGGGAAAAGUAAACAGCAGACUCCAACGCAAUUUUCGCACAAUAGUGCAUGUACUGCGCAUUCGUUAUGUUCUGUUGUUACUAGGAGAACGCUGUUUUAUGUGUAAUUUUCGGAGCCUGUAUGUCCUAUGCUUGACCCCUCUAGAAGUU